GCAAUCAAGAUUCCCCUUUUUCCUUGAUUGCAAUGCGUUUUUAUACCUCUCUUAUCUUCUGGGUCCAUUUCUUUCUCUUCUUUAACUUCAAUUUCUUCUCACUUUCCAUCCUUUUCUUGCCUACAAACAAUGUCACUCUCUAUGGCGAUGCACACCUUAGAAACAAUGGCAUUAGUCUCACUCAAGGACACGGUUGCUCCCACCCACCUUCCUUCCCUUUCUUCUCCUCUGCUCCUUCUUCUUCUUCUUAUUCUGGUGUUGGAAGAGCUCUCUAUCUAUACCCAAUUCGGUUUUUUGAUCCCACAACCAAUAUGACUGCAUCUUUCUUUUGCCGUUUCUCCUUCUCCAUCAUCCCAUCUCCACUGUGUCCUUUUGGUGAAGGUAUGGCGUUCUUCAUCACCUCUAAUGCCGAAUCUUUCAGUCUUUCUAAUGGCUACAUGGGCCUUCCAGGG
This 452-nucleotide unclassified non-coding RNA is filed under the name Hevea brasiliensis (rubber tree). Lineage: Eukaryota; Viridiplantae; Streptophyta; Magnoliopsida; Malpighiales; Euphorbiaceae. The record is from RNAcentral.